CAGACGAAGCUGCGACUAACUACCGCAUACCGCCUGGGAAGGGAAGGCGGGGACCGUAAGGCCUCGCGCGAUUAGAGCGGCCGAUAUCUGAUUAGCUUGUUGGUGGGGUAAAAGCCCACCAAGGCGACGAUCAGUAGCUGGUCUGAGAGGACGAUCAGCCACACUGGGACUGAGACACGGCCCAGACUCCUACGGGAGGCAGCAGUGGGGAAUUUUGGACAAUGGGGGCAACCCUGAUCCAGCAAUGCCGCGUGAGUGAAGAAGGCCUUCGGGUUGUAAAGCUCUUUUGUCAGGGAAGAAACAGCAGCUCUAACACAGUCUGCGAAUGACGGUACCUGAAGAAUAAGCACCGGCUAACUACGUG
Molecule: ribosomal RNA, 364 nt
Filed under: uncultured bacterium
Lineage: Bacteria
Description: bacterial SSU rRNA
Rfam family: Bacterial small subunit ribosomal RNA
Source: RNAcentral